RNA transcript from Toxorhynchites rutilus septentrionalis, 1852 nucleotides. It is a transcript of the gene named ADP-ribosylhydrolase ARH3-like, with no coding region annotated. Lineage: Eukaryota; Metazoa; Arthropoda; Insecta; Diptera; Culicidae. The transcript has 4 exons. The record is from RefSeq and is a predicted model, not a curated record.
GAUACCAGUGAUAUAAUAACUGGUUAUUUUAUUUUAAAUUAGAGAUUCUUCACAAGUUUGUUCAUAAAUGAUUGACAAAAUCUUAAUGCGUUCUAAAUUUCGAGGUACCCUUCUGGGUGCCUUGAUAGGCGAUUGCUGCGGGGCACCUUUCGAAGGACAAAUCAUGGACAGCGGUACCAAAUUAGUACUAAAGAACAAUCUGGAUAGGUUAGAGGGACCUUUUUUCAAAGCUCCUUACAAGAAGUAUACAGACGAUACUGCCAUGACAAAAUGCGUAGCUAACACGAUACUUGAUUCUAAAGGAUUUUCUCAAACGCUCCUCGCAAAAAACUUUGUUGUGGAAUACUUUAAAGAUCCUAGACGCGGCUACGGAGCUGCAGUUGUUGAUGUAUUCGCCAAACUCCGUAAUACUAAAAUUGCUGAUCCGACUGGUCCAGCGGCGGCUCAGUUCGGUGGUACUGGUUCAUAUGGCAAUGGAGCGGCUAUGAGAAUUUCUCCUGUUGCUCUCUUUUGUGCAAAUCGAAACAAACAGGAGCUGGUGCAAUUGGUGCGCGAUUCAUCUCUCGUUACUCACAGCAAUGUAUUAGGAGUAAAUGGAGCAAUAUUGCAAGCUUUAGCCAUACACCAAUGUUUGCAAUUAAAUCCAAAAGAUAUGUUUGAUAGAAAGCAGUAUAUAUCACAAUUAAAAGCUGAUAUAGCCGCUUUGGAAAGCGCAAACGAUCCGGACUUAGAUGCAAAUUCCAAUGCAUAUAUGAAUCAGCUUCAUGCAAUGGAACAACUUUUAGAAGAUAAAGUGGAAUCAAAUGAUGAAAAUGUGUUGAAUACACUGGGGCAUAGUGUUGAAGCAUUGUAUUCAGUUCCGACCGCAAUAUUCUGUUUCCUAAAAUGUUUAUCUGGAACAAUCAACGAUCUUCACCCCACAGCAAAGGAGUUGGAUACCUGAGACACUUUAUGUCCGCCAGACAUAGCCGAUCUGGUAUUUACAAUAUCCUCUUUCUGUCGCUCCUUAAGCCGGGAGAUAGAAACAACCGGCCAAACGGUGAAGGAGAAUCUGGCCAAAAUGGACAUUUUUAUGCGGAAGCGUCAUACGAGACUGGCAGUAUCUGAGCAGCAGGCAAUCAACCAAAAGGAGUAGCUUCAAGUGCUGGUGAAAAAUUUCUUUCCGGCGAAAGAAGUGAAAAACUUCUUUUCGUCCUCAUAAUGGAAGACAAGACGUGCUUGAUGCUAGAAUUCAACGAAUGGCCGGGGACCGGGUACUUUACGUUCCCCAGGUAAGCGAUGACGUCGAAUAUAUCAUCCACAUCAAGUUCUCGAAGAAGGUCUUUCUCUGACAGACGAGAAGGGAAUGUCCAACCGCUCUUCUUUCGAGUCAUAUGGUGAACGGGGAACGAGUACGAAGUGCUUGCCGAAACUUGCGAAGCUGAUGUGGUCUUUAUACCGAAACGGGGAUCAGCCCAUUAUGCCAAAAGAUCACUGGAGAAUGGAUAAUGGAUUGACUGGAGAUAAACAUUGUCGCGUAGACCGCCAACCUUCCCAACAUACCCCAGCUGCGGCCUAUAGAAAACUUUUAAGCGAAUGGCCAAAAUGAAGAGAUAGCUGACUACCAAAGCCACGGAAAGUCUCCGCAGCUUUCAUUCCGUUCCACGCUUGAGUAUGCGAUUUCAUUAGGAGGAGAUACCGACACGAUUGCAAGCAUGGCAAGUUCCAUCUGCGGGGCAUAUUUCGGUGAUGCAAUUAUUUCGAAAAAUCUUAUCAAACAUUGUGAGGAUGCAGACAAUAUGAUAAUCCUAGCGGAUAGAUUGUUUGAUUUGUAGAUAAAACUAUAUAUGAAUAGAUUGCAGUUUGUUUAGAA